UAGAGAGUACUCUCUCCGUCCCAUAAAAACUAACCUAUUGGAUGUGACACAUUCUAGUACUACGAAUCUGGACAUAUCUUUAUCCAUAUUUAUUAUAUUAGAAUAUGUCACAUUCAGUCCUAGCUAGAUUCAUUUCGUUUGGGACGGAGG
RNAcentral lists this unclassified non-coding RNA (150 nucleotides) under Oryza sativa (Asian cultivated rice). RNAcentral describes it as "partial microRNA MIR468a-3 precursor". Lineage: Eukaryota; Viridiplantae; Streptophyta; Magnoliopsida; Poales; Poaceae. The record is from RNAcentral.